GGGGGUAGGUUUAAUACGUAGGCGCCAUGGAUGGCGAAUCGUGCAUGCCACUGGUAAGGGCUAGUAGUAUCUAUGAAGAUUCCCACCUCC
Glossina brevipalpis is the source of this 90-nucleotide non-coding RNA. NCBI's taxonomy places the organism in Eukaryota, Metazoa, Arthropoda, Insecta, Diptera, Glossinidae. The record is from Rfam.